This is a non-coding RNA of Salvia hispanica, 338 nucleotides long. The record is from RefSeq and is a predicted model, not a curated record. NCBI's taxonomy places the organism in Eukaryota, Viridiplantae, Streptophyta, Magnoliopsida, Lamiales, Lamiaceae.
CGUCUUUUAUUGGAGAAAUCCAUCGCUGGAAAAGAUGAUUCUGCUAGCAUUCGACCCAAUACAGCUAUUAUUAAAGAAGCAUGUGAUAGGACGAUCGAAGCAGAAACCCUGGCAAAGGAGCGUCUUGGUGAAUUGAACAACAAACUUAGUGUCCAUUGCAGAAUCCCAGUCUUGCUGCAGCCCAAGGUAACUUUUGCUCCUAACAAUCAAUAAAGGGAUAGCAGCAGAGAAGCUACAAGAAUUAAUGCGCGUUUGCUGAGACAAUGUAUGCAUUGUUUGCCUUUGAUUUCUUUAUCCAAUUGAGGCAUUGGUGUGAUAUUAUGUGAUAGCCAUGGGAU